AACGCACAUUGCGCCUUUUGGUAUUCCGAGAGGCACGCCUGUCUGAGCGUCAGUAAAAACCUUCGGCUUUGGAUUUAUUUUCACCGCCGGUGCUGGCGGCGGGGUGCCCCCGUUAAAAGGGGCCCCCCCGCUUAAACCUGACGGCGGGAGGCAAGCGGCCGCGACAAUAGUAGAAAUAUCAUUUGUCCUUAUGGCCCGCGAGUCUUCCCCGCCUUUAAACACCAAACCUAAUUUUUGACCUCAGAUCAGACGAGGAUACCCGCUGAACUUAA
This 272-nucleotide unclassified non-coding RNA is filed under the name uncultured fungus. Its description in RNAcentral is "partial contains 5.8S ribosomal RNA, internal transcribed spacer 2, and large subunit ribosomal RNA". The stretch from base 1 to 52 matches the Rfam family "5.8S ribosomal RNA", at positions 103 to 154 of the family's 154-position model. Lineage: Eukaryota; Fungi. The record is from RNAcentral.